This 274-nucleotide ribosomal RNA is filed under the name uncultured bacterium. RNAcentral's name for it is "partial 16S ribosomal RNA". It matches the Rfam family "Bacterial small subunit ribosomal RNA", at positions 523 to 796 of the family's 1533-position model. The record is from RNAcentral.
AUACGGAGGGUGCAAGCGUUAAUCGGAAUUACUGGGCGUAAAGCGUGCGUAGGUGGUUUGUUAAGUUAGAUGUGAAAGCCCCGGGCUCAACCUGGAAACUGCAUUUGAAACUGGCAUACUAGAGUAUAGGAGAGGAAAGUGGAAUUUCAGGUGUAGCGGUGAAAUGCGUAGAUAUCUGAAGGAACAUCAAUGGCGAAGGCAGCUUUCUGGACUAAUACUGACACUGAGGUACGAAAGCGUGGGUAGCAAACAGGAUUAGAUACCCUAGUAGUCC